RNAcentral lists this ribosomal RNA (477 nucleotides) under uncultured bacterium. Its description in RNAcentral is "bacterial SSU rRNA". It matches the Rfam family "Bacterial small subunit ribosomal RNA", at positions 335 to 798 of the family's 1533-position model. The record is from RNAcentral.
ACUCCUACGGGAGGCAGCAGUGGGGAAUAUUGCACAAUGGGCGCAAGCCUGAUGCAGCCAUCGCCGCGUGUGUAGAAGCAAUGGGCCUUCGGGUUGAUAAGCACUUUCAGUCGUGAGGAAGGUAGUGUAGUUAAUAGCUGCAUUAUUUGACGUUAGCGACAGAAGAAGCACCGGCUAACUCCGUGCCAGCAGCCGCGGUAAUACGGAGGGUGCGAGCGUUAAUCGGAAUUACUGGGCGUAAAGCGCAUGCAGGUGGUUUGUUAAGUCAGAUGUGAAAGCCCGGGGCUUAACCUCGGAAUUGCAUUUGAAACUGGCAGGCUAGAGUCUUGUAGAGGGGGGUAGAAUUUCAGGGUGUAGCGGUGAAAUGCGUAGAGAUCUGAAGGAAUACCAGUGGCGAAGGCGGCCCCCUGGACAAAGACUGACGCUCAGAUGCGAAAGCGUGGGGAGCAAACAGGAUUAGAUACCCUGGUAGGAUAG